RNAcentral lists this ribosomal RNA (407 nucleotides) under uncultured bacterium. Its description in RNAcentral is "partial 16S ribosomal RNA". It matches the Rfam family "Bacterial small subunit ribosomal RNA", at positions 28 to 526 of the family's 1533-position model. The record is from RNAcentral.
GACGAACGCUGGCGGCGUGCCUAAUACAUGCAAGUAGAACGCAGUUGCGAACGGGUGAGUAACGCGUAGGUACCUGCCUGGGAGCGGGGGAUAACUAUUGGAAACGAUAGCUAAUACCGCAUACUACCAGAUGGACCUGCGUUGUAUUAGCUAGUUGGUGAGGUAACGGCUCACCAAGGCAACGAUACAUAGCCGAGCCUGAAGGGGGGACCGCCCAGCUGGGACUGGGAAGCGGCCCAGACUCCUACGGGGGGCAGGAGGAGGGAAACAUCGGACAAGGGGGGAACGCUGGCCGAGCAAAGGCGGGGGAGUGAAGAAGGGUUUCGGGUCGUAAAGGUCUUUUGUUAAGGGAGCGGUACUUAACCAGAAAGGAACGGCUAACUACGUGUCAGCAGCCGCGGUAAUAC